RNAcentral lists this ribosomal RNA (603 nucleotides) under uncultured Bacteroidota bacterium. RNAcentral describes it as "bacterial SSU rRNA". It matches the Rfam family "Bacterial small subunit ribosomal RNA", at positions 10 to 609 of the family's 1533-position model. The record is from RNAcentral. Lineage: Bacteria; Pseudomonadati; Bacteroidota.
AGUUUGAUCAUGGCUCAGGAUGAACGCUAGCGGCAGGCUUAAUACAUGCAAGUCGAACGGGAUUCGGGGUAGCAAUACUUUGAUGAGAGUGGCGCACGGGUGCGUAACGCGUAUGCAACCUACCUUUAACAGGGGAAUAGCCCCGAGAAAUCGGGAUUAAUACUCCGUAACAUUGCGGUGUGGCAUCACACUGCAAUUAAAGAUUUAUCGGUUAAAGAUGGGCAUGCGUGACAUUAGCUAGUUGGUGAGGUAACGGCUCACCAAGGCAACGAUGUCUAGGGGUCCUGAGAGGGUUAUCCCCCACACUGGUACUGAGACACGGACCAGACUCCUACGGGAGGCAGCAGUAAGGAAUAUUGGUCAAUGGGCGCAAGCCUGAACCAGCCAUGCCGCGUGCAGGAAGACGGCCCUAUGGGUUGUAAACUGCUUUUGUCAGGGAAUAAACCCCCGCUCGUGAGCGGGGCUGAAGGUACCUGAAGAAUAAGCAUCGGCUAACUCCGUGCCAGCAGCCGCGGUAAUACGGAGGAUGCAAGCGUUAUCCGGAUUCAUUGGGUUUAAAGGGUGCGCAGGCGGAUUGGUAAGUCAGGGGUGAAAUCCACAGCU